Molecule: transfer RNA, 72 nt
Filed under: Sus scrofa (pig)
Lineage: Eukaryota; Metazoa; Chordata; Mammalia; Artiodactyla; Suidae
Rfam family: tRNA
About the family: Transfer RNA (tRNA) molecules are approximately 80 nucleotides in length. Their secondary structure includes four short double-helical elements and three loops (D, anti-codon, and T loops).
Source: Rfam by way of RNAcentral
UCCCUGGUGGUCUAGUGUUUAGGACUUGGCACUUCCACUGCUGUGGAUCGGGUUCGAUCCCUGGUCUGGGAA